AAACUCAAAGGAAUUGACGGGGGCCCGCACAAGCGGCGGAGCAUGCGGAUUAAUUCGAUGCAACGCGAAGAACCUUACCAAGGCUUGACAUACACCGGAAGCGUGCAGAGAUGUGCGUGCCGUAAGGCCGGUGUACAGGUGGUGCAUGGUUGUCGUCAGCUCGUGUCGUGAGAUGUUGGGUUAAGUCCCGCAACGAGCGCAACCCUUGUCCUGUGUUGCCAGCGGGUUAUGCCGGGGACUCAUGGGAGACUGCCGGGGUCAACUCGGAGGAAG
This 273-nucleotide ribosomal RNA is filed under the name uncultured bacterium. RNAcentral describes it as "partial 16S ribosomal RNA". It matches the Rfam family "Bacterial small subunit ribosomal RNA", at positions 897 to 1172 of the family's 1533-position model. The record is from RNAcentral.